UUUGACUCGGCUCUUGGCUUUACAGGUCUCCAAUGGGUUAUCGGUUGUGUAAUUUAAUAAAUAUAGUUCGCAUGUUGAAAGGAAAUAUCAAAAAUUCAUGCCAAAGUCUUCAGGGUCUUCAGUGGAUCCUGUCUAAACACGAUAGAUUAUGCUCAUUUGGAAUAGGUAUGCUGUAUUUCGCGGACCAGACAUGAUUGAAUUGAAAGCACCACACAUUAGGGCCAACUUACUGAAGAUAUUUUUAACAAAUAGUGUUUUAUUGGCCAAGGAAAAAAAAAAUGUUUGAGUAGUGUGACAGAUUUAAAAGCUGCUGUAGAAACAGUCAUGCCAGGCAGUGGAGUGCACACCUAAAUGUGCAAAAAUAAAUUGCCUUACAACGUUCUGCAGGUAGAAUUCACUACUUGGUUCUGAACAAGAGCGUAGAUAUUUUUAUUGGCUAGGGGGGGGCUUAAGGAUUUUUCUCAACAUAUUUAUCAAUAUUGUUAUUAAAAAUAAAUUACAAAAUUAUACAUACAAUAAAACAAAAUUUUCAAAUAUUAAAUGCAAUAUAAUAAAGUUUAAAAAAUAUAAA
Zophobas morio is the source of this 571-nucleotide long non-coding RNA. RefSeq lists it as uncharacterized. The record is from RefSeq and is a predicted model, not a curated record. NCBI's taxonomy places the organism in Eukaryota, Metazoa, Arthropoda, Insecta, Coleoptera, Tenebrionidae. The transcript has 3 exons.